GAGAUAUAACUCAGUGGUAGAGUGCUUGUCUAGCACGCAUGAGGCCCCAGGUUUGAUCCCUUGAUUGCA
Molecule: transfer RNA, 69 nt
Filed under: Marmota monax (woodchuck)
Lineage: Eukaryota; Metazoa; Chordata; Mammalia; Rodentia; Sciuridae
Description: tRNA.Ala
Source: RNAcentral